CCUACGGGAGGCUGCAGUGAGGAAUAUUGGUCAAUGGGCGAGAGCCUGAACCAGCCAAGUCGCGUGAAGGAUGAAGGAUCUAUGGUUUGUAAACUUCUUUUAUAUGGGAAUAAAGUGAGGAACGUGUGCCUUUUUGUAUGUACCAUAUGAAUAAGCAUCGGCUAACGCCGUGCCAGCAGCCGCGGUAAUACGGAGGAUGCGAGCGUUAUCCGGAUUUAUUGGGUUUCAAGGGUGCGUAGGUGGUUAAUUAAGUCAGCGGUGAAAGUUUGUGGCUCAACCAUACAAUUGCCGUUGAAACUGGUUGCCUUGAGUAUAUUUGCGGUAGUCGGAAUGCGUGGUGUAGCG
RNAcentral lists this ribosomal RNA (345 nucleotides) under uncultured bacterium. Its description in RNAcentral is "partial 16S ribosomal RNA". It matches the Rfam family "Bacterial small subunit ribosomal RNA", at positions 338 to 680 of the family's 1533-position model. The record is from RNAcentral.